RNAcentral lists this ribosomal RNA (1123 nucleotides) under Deltaproteobacteria bacterium RIFCSPHIGHO2_12_FULL_40_32. RNAcentral's name for it is "partial 23S ribosomal RNA". It matches the Rfam family "Bacterial large subunit ribosomal RNA", at positions 2533 to 2925 of the family's 2925-position model. The record is from RNAcentral. Lineage: Bacteria; Deltaproteobacteria.
CGGCUCAUCGCAUCCUGGGGCUGAAGUAGGUCCCAAGGGUUUGGCUGUUCGCCAAUUAAAGCGGUACGCGAGCUGGGUUCAGAACGUCGUGAGACAGUAGACUGUUGCUGUCUAAAAAUCUGGCUAUAUGCUGGAAAAUCUGUAGAAUCCGACAGUACUCUCUGUAAGGGAGUAAAAAUCUGAUCGGUGCAGACAAUCAGCAGGAAAGGUCAGGGAAAUGGAUAAUCAUUAUAUCGCAGGUUUUGUUGAUGGAGAAGGCAGCUUUCAUGUUGCCUUCCAACGUAGCGAUGAUGUUAGGUUGGGAUGGCAGGUUAUUCCUGAAUUCCAUCUAAGUCAGAACGUAUCCAGUAGAAAUGUUCUUGAAGUUAUUCAAGGGCGUUUUGGUUGUGGUUCAAUAAAAGAAAAUCAUCGUGAACGUUUGAAUGAUCAUACUUAUGUACUUGUGAUCAGAGACAGGCAAGACCUGACUAAAAAAGUGAUUCCUUUUUUUGAACGCUAUCCAUUGCACACUCAAAAGAAAAAUGAUUUUGCCAUUUUUAGGCAAAUUGUUGAGAUGAUGAAUCAGAAACUUCAUCUCUCAUCAAAAAGUUUUUCUGAGAUUGUGAAUUUGGCUUAUUCUAUGAAUGCCAACGGAUAUCGACGAAAGGUUCCAAAAAAUGAAAUCCUUAGUACCCUGAAAUCCUCAGAGACUAUACGCCAGAAUCAGUUAAAGGCUGAUAAGAUAUAGUCCGAACUGCAUGGCGACAUGCAGAGCCUGCUUCGCAGCAGGCCGUCCGCCUAAGGCGGAUCAGUACUCCGAAUUUCGGAGGAAGUAACAGAUUGUCGGUCCCUAUCUUCCGUGGGUGGAGGAGAUUUGCGGGGAUCUGUCCCUAGUACGAGAGGACCGGGAUGGACGAACCUCUGGUGCACCAGUUGUCACGCCAGUGGCAUUGCUGGGUAGCUAUGUUCGGAUCCGAUAACCGCUGAAAGCAUCUAAGUGGGAAACGGACCCCAAAACUAGAUCUCCCUCUCCAUAAGGAGCUUAAAGACCCCUUGUAGAUUACGAGGUUGAUAGGCCGGAUGUGUAAGUCCCGUAAGGGAUUAAGCUAACCGGUACUAAUUGGUCGAGAGGCUUGACCUUAUU